RNAcentral lists this ribosomal RNA (155 nucleotides) under uncultured bacterium. Its description in RNAcentral is "partial 16S ribosomal RNA". It matches the Rfam family "Bacterial small subunit ribosomal RNA", at positions 355 to 507 of the family's 1533-position model. The record is from RNAcentral.
UGAGGAAUAUUGGUCAAUGGUCGGAAGACUGAACCAGCCAAGUAGCGUGAAGGAUGACUGCCCUACGGGUUGUAAACUUCUUUUGUUUGGGAAUAAAGUGAGGCACGUGUGCCUUUUUGUAUGUACCUUACGAAUAAGCAUCGGCUAACUCCGUG